AUUGAACGCUGGCGGCAGGCCUAACACAUGCAAGUCGAGCGGAUGAAGGGAGCUUGCUCCUGGAUUCAGCGGCGGACGGGUGAGUAAUGCCUAGGAAUCUGCCUGGUAGUGGGGGAUAACGUCCGGAAACGGGCGCUAAUACCGCAUACGUCCUGAGGGAGAAAGUGGGGGAUCUUCGGAUCUCACGCUAUCAGAUGAGCCUAAGUCGGAUUAGCUAGUUGGUGGGGUAAAGGCCUACCAAGGCGACGAUCCGUAACUGGUCUGAGAGGAUGAUCAGUCACACUGGAACUGAGACACGGUCCAGACUCCUACGGGAGGCAGCAGUGGGGAAUAUUGGACAAUGGGCGAAAGCCUGAUCCAGCCAUGCCGCGUGUGUGAAGAAGGUCUUCGGAUUGUAAAGCACUUUAAGUUGGGAGGAAGGGCAGUAAGUUAAUACCUUGCUGUUUUGACGUUACCAACAGAAUAAGCACCGGCUAACUUCGUG
This 484-nucleotide ribosomal RNA is filed under the name uncultured bacterium. RNAcentral's name for it is "partial 16S ribosomal RNA". It matches the Rfam family "Bacterial small subunit ribosomal RNA", at positions 30 to 507 of the family's 1533-position model. The record is from RNAcentral.